RNAcentral lists this long non-coding RNA (364 nucleotides) under Ursus maritimus (polar bear). RNAcentral's name for it is "lncRNA (ENSUMAG00000017199.1)". The record is from RNAcentral. Lineage: Eukaryota; Metazoa; Chordata; Mammalia; Carnivora; Ursidae.
AUCUUGCACUAGACAAAAUUCUUGGUUUCUAGGUUCUUUCCCACCAGAAACAGAAUCUGAGUGACUUACUGGAAGAAAAUUUCGCAAGGCUAUUUGAUCACUCAUGGAAUCUCUGGAUUCAGCUCUGGACCAGUCAGCCUUGAUGAUAAGGUAGAAGAAGACAACAGAAGCAAGACUAAAAAGAGCCAAGAACCCACUCUUGUGGGCUCCGUGGAAGCUCUCAGAGAGAAGGGGGCAGUCCACGGCCACCCACUGACUUGAAUACCACAACCACGUAUUACAGUUAAAGAACUUGAUAUGUAUGGAAAUCCUGAAAAUUCUCAUUCCAGACUGCAACAAACAUUGACAUUUCCUAUGAAUAAAU